This 536-nucleotide ribosomal RNA is filed under the name Escherichia coli. RNAcentral describes it as "bacterial SSU rRNA". It matches the Rfam family "Bacterial small subunit ribosomal RNA", at positions 77 to 607 of the family's 1533-position model. The record is from RNAcentral. Lineage: Bacteria; Pseudomonadati; Pseudomonadota; Gammaproteobacteria; Enterobacterales; Enterobacteriaceae.
GCUUGGGCUCUUUGCUGACGAGUGGCGGACGGGUGAGUAAUGUCUGGGAAACUGCCUGAUGGAGGGGGAUAACUACUGGAAACGGUAGCUAAUACCGCAUAACGUCGCAAGACCAAAGAGGGGGACCUUCGGGCCUCUUGCCAUCGGAUGUGCCCAGAUGGGAUUAGCUUGUUGGUGGGGUAACGGCUCACCAAGGCGACGAUCCCUAGCUGGUCUGAGAGGAUGACCAGCCACACUGGAACUGAGACACGGUCCAGACUCCUACGGGAGGCAGCAGUGGGGAAUAUUGCACAAUGGGCGCAAGCCUGAUGCAGCCAUGCCGCGUGUAUGAAGAAGGCCUUCGGGUUGUAAAGUACUUUCAGCGGGGAGGAAGGGAGUAAAGUUAAUACCUUUGCUCAUUGACGUUACCCGCAGAAGAAGCACCGGCUAACUCCGUGCCAGCAGCCGCGGUAAUACGGAGGGUGCAAGCGUAAUCGGAAUUACUGGGCGUAAAGCGCACGCAGGCGGUUUGUUAAGUCAGAUGUGAAAUCCCCCGG